Molecule: non-coding RNA, 46 nt
Organism: Schistosoma rodhaini
Lineage: Eukaryota; Metazoa; Platyhelminthes; Trematoda; Strigeidida; Schistosomatidae
Source: Rfam
GCACUGCUGAGGAAUCCCGCAAUAGGACGAAACGGCCGUCAAGUAC